UGAGGAAUAUUGCACAAUGGGCGCAAGCCUGAUGCAGCGACGCCGCGUGUGGGAUGAAGGGGCUACGCCUCGUAAACCACUGUAGCCCGGGACGAAAAACGCCUUAGAGGCGUUAGACGGUACCGGGAAAGUAAGGGUCGGCUAACUACGUGCCAGCAGCCGCGGUAAUACGUAGGCAGCGAGCGUUGUUCGGAGUUACUGGGCGUAAAGAGUGCGUAGGCGGCGAGCCAAGUUUGGGGUGAAAUCUCCCGGCUUAACCGGGAGGGUGCGCCGAAAACUGGUUGGCGGGAGUAUGGGAGAGGACAGCGGAAUUCCUGGUGUAGCGGUGAAAUGCGUAGAUAUCAGGAGGAACACCUGCGGUGUAGACAGCUUUCUGGACCAAAACUGACGCUGAGGCACGAAAGCGUGGGUAGCAAACA
Molecule: ribosomal RNA, 419 nt
Filed under: uncultured bacterium
Lineage: Bacteria
Description: bacterial SSU rRNA
Rfam family: Bacterial small subunit ribosomal RNA
Source: RNAcentral